Pan troglodytes (chimpanzee) is the source of this 148-nucleotide non-coding RNA. It matches the Rfam family "Metazoan signal recognition particle RNA". Rfam says of the family: The signal recognition particle (SRP) is a universally conserved ribonucleoprotein. Lineage: Eukaryota; Metazoa; Chordata; Mammalia; Primates; Hominidae. The record is from Rfam.
GCCGGGUGUGGUGGUGGGCGCCUGUAAUCCCAGCUACUUGGGAGGCUGAGGCAGGAGAAUCACUUGAACCUGGGAGGCGGAGGUUGCAGUGAGCUGAGAUUGCACCACUGUACUCCAGCCUGGGUGACAGAGUGAGACCUUGUCUCAA